CCUACGGGAGGCUGCAGUGGGGAAUAUUGCACAAUGGGGGAAACCCUGAUGCAGCGACGCCGCGUGAGUGAAGAAGUAAUUCGUUAUGUAAAGCUCUAUCAGCAGGGAAGCAAAUGACGGUACCUGAGUAAGAAGCCCCGGCUAACUACGUGCCAGCAGCCGCGGUAAGACGUAGGGGGCCAGCGUUAUCCGGAUUUACUGGGUGUAAAGGGAGCGUAGACGGCAGUGCAAGUCUGGAGUGAAAGGCGGGGGGUCAACCCCCGGACUGCGCUGGAAACUGUACGGCUGGAGUGCAGGAGAGGUAAGUGGAAUGCGUGGUGUAGCGGUGAAAUGCGUAGAUAUUAGGAGGAACACCAGUGGCGAAGGCGGCUUACUGGACUGUAACUGACGUUGAGGCUCGAAAGCGUGGGGAGCAAACAGGAUUAGAUACCCCUGUAGUC
This 440-nucleotide ribosomal RNA is filed under the name uncultured bacterium. Its description in RNAcentral is "partial 16S ribosomal RNA". It matches the Rfam family "Bacterial small subunit ribosomal RNA", at positions 338 to 795 of the family's 1533-position model. The record is from RNAcentral.